This 999-nucleotide ribosomal RNA is filed under the name uncultured bacterium. RNAcentral describes it as "bacterial SSU rRNA". It matches the Rfam family "Bacterial small subunit ribosomal RNA", at positions 355 to 1375 of the family's 1533-position model. The record is from RNAcentral.
UGGGGAAUAUUGCACAAUGGGGGAAACCCUGAUGCAGCGACGCCGCGUGAGUGAAGAAGUAUUUCGGUAUGUAAAGCUCUAUCAGCAGGGAAGAAAAUGACGGUACCUGACUAAGAAGCCCCGGCUAACUACGUGCCAGCAGCCGCGGUAAUACGUAGGGGGCAAGCGUUAUCCGGAUUUACUGGGUGUAAAGGGAGCGUAGACGGAGCAGCAAGUCUGAUGUGAAAACCCGGGGCUCAACCCCGGGACUGCAUUGGAAACUGUUGAUCUGGAGUGCCGGAGAGGUAAGCGGAAUUCCUAGUGUAGCGGUGAAAUGCGUAGAUAUUAGGAGGAACACCAGUGGCGAAGGCGGCUUACUGGACGGCAACUGACGUUGAGGCUCGAAAGCGUGGGGAGCAAACAGGAUUAGAUACCCUGGUAGUCCACACCGUAAACGAUGAUUACUAGGUGUUGGGAGAUUGACCCUCUCAGUGCCGCAGUUAACACAAUAAGUAAUCCACCUGGGGAGUACGACCGCAAGGUUGAAACUCAAAGGAAUUGACGGGGGCCCGCACAAGCAGUGGAGUAUGUGGUUUAAUUCGACGCAACGCGAAGAACCUUACCAAGUCUUGACAUCCCUUGACAGGCAUAGAAAUAUGUUUUCUCUUCGGAGCAAGGAGACAGGUGGUGCAUGGUUGUCGUCAGCUCGUGUCGUGAGAUGUUGGGUUAAGUCCCGCAACGAGCGCAACCCCUAUCCUUAGUAGCCAGCAGUAAGAUGGGCACUCUAGGGAGACUGCCAGGGAUAACCUGGAGGAAGGUGGGGAUGACGUCAAAUCAUCAUGCCCCUUAUGACUUGGGCUACACACGUGCUACAAUGGCGUAAACAAAGUGAAGCGAGAGUGUGAGCUUAAGCAAAUCACAAAAAUAACGUCUCAGUUCGGAUUGUAGUCUGCAACUCGACUACAUGAAGCUGGAAUCGCUAGUAAUCGCAGAUCAGAAUGCUGCGGUGAAUACGUUCCC